AGUCUGCCACCUGGAGUUGUGUGUCCGUGUGGCUGGUGGUGUGAGCAAGUGAGGAUUGUGUUGAUCCUGGCGGUAUCCGGGCAGCUGAAGCUGUGCGUAAAGGAGCUGAUCUUCCGGCAGGAAAGACAGGCAAGAACUGAAUAAAUAUAUAACACAGUGUCAACAGUGAAAUGAAUAUGUAAUACAAUGCAAGUGGCGUGAAGAAUAAUCCAUAGGAUAAAGGGGAUUAAAGAGUGCUGCUGUGGGCGGCGGUUUAGCAGGUGUCAUCCAAGAUGGUGUCUCUAAGGAGGAGGUACUUGAGGUGACCCCUGAGCGGGGUGAGAGAGAAUGCCUGCUGAGUAUCCAGAAGAGCGUUCAAGGCGGAGGGAGCAGCAAGUGCAAAGGCCCUGAUGUGAGAACAUCCUGAGCGGCAGCUUGUCAGGGGCCUGUGGACGUUGCUCUAUCUCCAGUGCCUGCAGCGGAGCCUGGCACACAGGAGGUGCUCAACAAUUAUCUGUUAAAAUAAAAACUUGAAUAGAUGAA
This is a long non-coding RNA of Suricata suricatta (meerkat), 522 nucleotides long. RefSeq lists it as uncharacterized. The transcript is spliced from 3 exons. The record is from RefSeq and is a predicted model, not a curated record. Lineage: Eukaryota; Metazoa; Chordata; Mammalia; Carnivora; Herpestidae.